Molecule: RNA transcript, 2064 nt
Organism: Neodiprion virginianus
Lineage: Eukaryota; Metazoa; Arthropoda; Insecta; Hymenoptera; Diprionidae
Gene name: trypsin-1-like
Exons: 8
Source: RefSeq, a predicted model, not a curated record
AGAUGCGAACCGAGUCGCUGUACGGGGGUUUGCCAAGUAAGCCGCAUAUCACUCGGGAUAUAGAUCGAAGUAUGCGGCCACCGAGCUCAGUAGCUUCUGCAGAUUAGAGGGAGUCAUCAACUCGGCGCAGUUAUUCGCCACAUUAGCACCAUGAAACGGAGUGCAGCGUUAUUCGCGAUAUGGUCUUUGCUGAUACCUCAGGUGGUCGAGUCCCGGAAAACCUUGCAGCCUAAAGUCAUUGAUCCGGAAUGUGAGUGCGGAGUUUCCGGUGAAGGAGUCGCCAACCGAAUCGUGGGUGGGGUAAUAUCGGUGCCGCACACUUUCCCUUGGGUCGCAGCGAUCUUCGUCAGAGGUUCUCUGCACUGCGGCGGAACCCUGAUCAACGACCGAUACAUCCUUACUGCCGGACACUGCGUGAAAUGGACAAACCAGAACGAUCUAUCCGUAUGGCUUGGAAUCCACGACAUCGAGAAUCGCGAUGGAGGCGUCGUGUCGCCCAUCGAACAAGUGAUUCUUCACGAUGGGUUCAGGAGCGAUUUCCUGCACGACACGAACGACAUCGCUCUGAUUAAACUCAAGUACCCCGUACGGUACAACGAGAACAUCAAACCAGUUUGUCUGCCUUACAGAGAAUCGGACUACACCAAUCACAAGGUCAGUGCUACCGGAUGGGGCAGAGUCACCACCUCUGGUAAUGCUUCCAGAUUCCUCCGUCAAGCUGAUCUGAAAGUUAUGCCCUGGUCCGACUGUCGUAAUACGUCGUUCGGCAACCAUCUCACCAAGUCUAUGCUCUGUGCGUACAAUGACGAUACGGACGCCUGUCAGGGCGACAGCGGCGGCCCUCUGCUCUUCAAAAGACAGGACGACAAGUAUGAAAUCGUUGGGGUUGUCUCUUGGGGAAUAGGAUGUGCCAAACGUGGCAUGCCGGGUAUUUACGUCAAGACUACCGACUACCUGGACUGGAUAACCGCUAGAACCACAACCGCGAUAUAUUGCGCCGAUAAUUAGUUGGAUAGAAGUUUAAUGAUCGAUGCGACACGUAAAUGUGUGAAAUAGUACCUAUUGUUGUUGUGAUGGUUAAUAGUGUCAAGAGAAUACAUUUAGGCCAAUAUCAAGUGUUUUUAUCAGACGGUUAGACGUGGCGGUGGCGACAAGCUUUUGGGUUUCCUUGAAGUGGCUGCAAAGAGAAGUACAGGACGAGAACAGUGCUAGAAAUUAAAAUGGUAACCAGGAAUGUGGAAUCAUAUUCAUGCAUAGACAAAAUUCUGUGUUGACUGUGACAAUAAUAAAGAUAUUAUGAGAACAGUACGAAAAAACAAAGACGUUCUGAGCAUUGCGCUUAAAUUUUACAGGUAAGCUACAAACAUUGAGUAAAGUUCGGUACCGUCUCUUUAUCGUCUCCUGACGUCGUUAACGCAAUCGCCACGGUAUACAUUUUCAAUCUUAUUUUACGACCAGCCUCAUGAAUUUCACGUCACCUUGAUAACUCCUCAGACGCCUCUUACACCAGAAGUUGCUGAUUAAAAACAUAAUAACAAAUACACAUAGCUAUAUAAAAGACUAUUAAGUGAAUCAAAUGAAAAUUUAUGAUCAGUGUUCAUUAUUGAAACCACGGUAGCGUAAAAAUCACCAAUCAAGACGAAAGUCGCAUUCGUGCAUUCGGCUACCACAUAAUAAAUUCUCAGGGAGAAUCGCUCAUUGAACAACGUCCAUAUUUCUUCCGAUUGAAUGCCAAACGAACAAAACAGCGACGUCAUUAAAAUUAGUUGACCGCGUUAAACGCCAAAUAGUAUGCAACCACGUAUACUCUGCGCCUAAUGGCAGGCUAACCGCUAUACAGUUAGAGACACGAGCCGUUUGUUUACCCAACUCGGCGUUGCGUGCGCAAGGGCAGCAGCGUUCAUUUCGCGUUUCUAGGACAGAUGUGCGCCGUCUGAAAGUGAUUUUGCAUUGAGUAGAAUAAAUCUAUGGUAAAUUUAACGUUUUUAUAAAAUAAUUGACAAUGGCGGGGCUCUUGGAUUUGUGCGAAAAGUAUUUCGGCGCCCGAGACUUUUACGAAGUGUU